Gadus chalcogrammus (walleye pollock) is the source of this 177-nucleotide long non-coding RNA. RefSeq lists it as uncharacterized. The transcript is spliced from 3 exons. The record is from RefSeq and is a predicted model, not a curated record. NCBI's taxonomy places the organism in Eukaryota, Metazoa, Chordata, Actinopteri, Gadiformes, Gadidae.
GUGGACGCCGCCAAGGCCUGCGGCAUCACUCCCAUGCACUUGAGCCUGUUUGGUUUGAUGAGGGAGAGCGACCACAUGUGGCUUCCACCCAAUCACGUGCUCAAUCUGGAACCGUCAGCAAAUGAGAGAGUCCUGUUCCGAAUCAGGUACUAUUUCCCUGGAUGGUACAACAAUGGC